AUAUAAUUGCCUGGUUUGUAUUGGACGGAAGAACCUCGCCUGCAACAGUCACUACUAAAAAUUCUUUGAAAGGAAAAAAAUAAAAAAGUGUCGCUGUCUGCUAACCUAACAAUUCGCUUCAGUUACAUCGGCUGACAACUACACUUGAAGGAGCAACAGUUUUGCGUCCAGUCAAAAGAAAAAACAAAAUUAUCCUAUAGUCUUAAAAAUAAUCAGCGUUCGGCGUUAAUUUUCCUACAUACAGUAAGAAAACUAAAAAUCUUACCACCAUGAACGGAUUAUAUUAUGGAAUAUGCCUUUUAUUCGUGAUUGGCAGUGCCAUGGCUGAAUGCGAUCUUCAAAAGGUAAUGGAAUGUCAAAGAUUUACAUUCCGAAGCUGCAAGAUCCCGAAAAUAAAGAGGCUGUGUGCAAAGCAGCUUCAGACUUGAUGAACUGUAUGGGCUCGGCCUCUACUGGUUGCGGUGAAGAAAUGGGAAAACAUUCGACCAAGCUCGUUCACAGAUUGCAGAAUUAGGAUGUCCACAGUCAUCAC
Molecule: long non-coding RNA, 532 nt
Organism: Octopus sinensis (East Asian common octopus)
Lineage: Eukaryota; Metazoa; Mollusca; Cephalopoda; Octopoda; Octopodidae
Exons: 3
Source: RefSeq, a predicted model, not a curated record